AGAACGCAGCGAAAUGCGAUAAGUAAUGUGAAUUGCAGAAUUCAGUGAAUCAUCGAAUCUUUGAACGCACAUUGCGCCCUUUGGUAUUCCUUAGGGCAUGCCUGUUCGAGCGUCACUAAAAACCCCCUCACAGAUAAUGUGGUAUUGGUAGA
Molecule: ribosomal RNA, 152 nt
Filed under: Tuber sp. Tp
Lineage: Eukaryota; Fungi; Ascomycota; Pezizomycetes; Pezizales; Tuberaceae
Description: 5.8S ribosomal RNA
Rfam family: 5.8S ribosomal RNA (bases 1-115)
About the family: 5.8S ribosomal RNA (5.8S rRNA) is a component of the large subunit of the eukaryotic ribosome. It is transcribed by RNA polymerase I as part of the 45S precursor that also contains 18S and 28S rRNA. Functionally, it is thought that 5.8S rRNA may be involved in ribosome translocation.
Source: RNAcentral